UUCCCUAAUGACUGUGUUAUUAUUUGAUUUGAAAACAAUUGUAAGUAAAAUAAAUGAAAAAGUAUGCUUGUUAGGUGUCGUAAACUAUGAGGAAAAUACCAAAUGGUCUAUUUAGUCACUAAUCGAGAAUGUUGGCUAAGACGCAUCAGAUCCUGCUUGAUGAACGAAAACAGAAAGGGUUUCAAAAGUGAUUUUAGAAACACCUACAAAACUCAAAAUACAGUCAAAUUGCUAUAUUAAUUUUCAUCUCGCCAUUCCCUUUAAUUCAUUAUAACGAGUUUUCUUAAUUCAUUACAAAAUUUAUUUACCACUGACCCCUGAUGUAUAAUUAUUUUUAAUGUAUAUUUCAUGUAUAUUCAAAGCGUUUAUUCGUUUACUAGAUGUUUUCUUUGAGACGAGAUGAUAUAGAUAUAAUCAAACUGCACGAAGAAAUUCCAAAUGGAUGCCCAUAUUAUGAUUGGAAAGUUACAGAUACUCUGACACCAGAAGAAAGACAGGUAAAAGUUAUAAGGCAAACUUACAUGACACGCUUUAUUCAGGUUACUGCAUUGAUAUCUUUAGGUUACAUUUUGUACGCAUGCCUGGGUUUCAUAUCUGCACUGAUUUUGUAGUUUGAACUGUUUUUGUAUCAAUAAAGUUUACUGUUACUAUAAAUAGUUUAUUACAUA
This is a non-coding RNA of Parasteatoda tepidariorum (common house spider), 668 nucleotides long. Lineage: Eukaryota; Metazoa; Arthropoda; Arachnida; Araneae; Theridiidae. The record is from RefSeq and is a predicted model, not a curated record.